This 718-nucleotide ribosomal RNA is filed under the name uncultured bacterium. RNAcentral's name for it is "bacterial SSU rRNA". It matches the Rfam family "Bacterial small subunit ribosomal RNA", at positions 129 to 865 of the family's 1533-position model. The record is from RNAcentral.
CCUGCAAGUGGGGAUAACCUGUCGAAAGGCAGGCUAAUACCGCAUAUGAUAAUCAAGCGUUGCUUGAUUAUUAAAGCCUUAGGGUGCUGGGAGAUGGGCUUGCGUCUGAUUAGCUAGUUGGUGAGGUAAUGGCUUACCAAGGCGAUAAUCAGUAGCUGGUCUGAGAGGAUGGUCAGCCAGAUGGGGACUGAGAUACGGCCCCAACUCCUACGGGAGGCAGCAGCAAGGGAUAUUGGGCAAUGGGCGAAAGCCUGACCCAGCGACACCGCGUGAGGGAGGAAGGCCUUCGGGUUGUAAACCUCUUUUCUCAAGGAAGAAUUUUGACGGUACUUGAGGAAUAAGCCUCGGCUAACUACGUGCCAGCAGCCGCGGUAAGACGUAGGAGGCGAACGUUAUCCGGAUUUAUUGGGCGUAAAGAGAGCGUAGGCGGCUUUUUAAGUCAAGUGUGAAAUCUUCUGACUCAAUCAGAAGAAGCCGCUUGAUACUGGAGGGCUUGAGGGAAGCAGAAGGAAAUGGAAUUCCCAGUGUAGCGGUGAAAUGCGUUGAUAUUGGGAAGAACACCAGUGGCGAAGGCGAUUUCCUAGGCUUUUCCUGACGCUGAGGCCCGAAAGCGUGGGGAGCGAAGCGGAUUAGAUACCCGCGUAGUCCACGCCUUAAACGGUGGACAUUAGGUAUGGGGAGUAUCGACCCUCUCCGUGUCGAAGCUAACGCUUUAAAU